Molecule: ribosomal RNA, 348 nt
Filed under: uncultured bacterium
Lineage: Bacteria
Description: bacterial SSU rRNA
Rfam family: Bacterial small subunit ribosomal RNA
Source: RNAcentral
AACGAACGCUGGCGGCGUGGAUAAGACAUGCAAGUCGAACGGGAACUUCAGCUGUAGCAAUACAGUUGCAGUUUUAGUGGCGAACGGGUGCGUAACACGUGGGCAAUCUGCCGAGAAGUGGGGGAUAGCUCGCCGAAAGGCGAAUUAAUACCGCAUAUGAUCAGCUAAGACAUCUUAGCGACAUCAAAGCCGGGGGCAACCUGGCGCUUUUUGAGGAGCCCGCGGCCUAUCAGCUAGUUGGUGAGGUAACGGCUCACCAAGGCUAUGACGGGUAGCUGGUCUGAGAGGACGACCAGUCACACUGGAACUGAGACACGGUCCAGACACCUACGGGUGGCAGCAGUCGAG